RNAcentral lists this ribosomal RNA (271 nucleotides) under uncultured prokaryote. RNAcentral describes it as "partial 16S ribosomal RNA". It matches the Rfam family "Bacterial small subunit ribosomal RNA", at positions 524 to 794 of the family's 1533-position model. The record is from RNAcentral.
UACGGAGGUGGCAAGCGUUGUUCGGAAUUACUGGGCGUAAAGGGCGCGUAGGCGGCAUGGCAAGUCAGAUGUGAAAGCCCCGGGCUUAACCUGGGAAUUGCAUCUGAAACUGUUGUGCUUGAGUUCUGGAGGGGGUAGUGGAAUUCCCAGUGUAGCGGUGAAAUGCGUAGAUAUUGGGAGGAACACCUGCGGCGAAGGCGACUUACUGGGCCGUAACUGACGCUGAUGCGCGAAAGCGUGGGGAGCGAACAGGAUUAGAUACCCCCGUAGU